GGUGAUGUGGCACUAGGAGACUUUAUACCAGAUGCCCUCCCUGUUACUGUGUUUAGAGGAAGAAAAGCAGCACAUGGCAGAGACCAGAGCUUCACUGGAAUAAAUCUUCACACUGUCCAGCUCCAAACUGUGUAUCUCUGUCCCUGUGUUCUCUUUGUGUUUGAUUCUGUUUAAGACAAUACAGAACUGUGGAAAACUAAA
This is a long non-coding RNA of Boleophthalmus pectinirostris (great blue-spotted mudskipper), 201 nucleotides long. RefSeq lists it as uncharacterized. The record is from RefSeq and is a predicted model, not a curated record. The transcript is spliced from 2 exons. NCBI's taxonomy places the organism in Eukaryota, Metazoa, Chordata, Actinopteri, Gobiiformes, Gobiidae.